Long non-coding RNA from Aricia agestis (brown argus), 1224 nucleotides. RefSeq lists it as uncharacterized. Lineage: Eukaryota; Metazoa; Arthropoda; Insecta; Lepidoptera; Lycaenidae. The record is from RefSeq and is a predicted model, not a curated record. The transcript is spliced from 3 exons.
AAUAGCUGCAGACAACUUGUCUGCAGUACAAUAUAUAGUUAAGUCAUCUACAAACUGUAGGUAAUUGUAAAGAAGUUAAAAUAGUUGAAAGUUUUUCCAAAUUGACAUUAUUAUAUGCGCCAACAACAUCAAAGAAAAUACCAACCAAUAUUGAAUUACAAGACAGAGCAUUGUGAAUGUCCAAACAAAAAUGACUCAAGCUCUCUCUAGCCGAACGGCCACGCCGAAAACCGAACUGAUUACUAGAUUCGUGUGAAGAGGAAAACUUUCAAAUGUCUGUGACAAGUUACUAUGGGAAGAGAAUGAUGGAGAAAGAUUCAAUGUUGUCAGAGUUGGUAAAUGAUAACUACCUAACGAGUCUGAAGAAACUUGCCAUUCACAAAAUAAUGCUAACGACGCCGAAACAAAAGUCAAAUCUAGUGCAUUUGGCUUCCAUCUAUGCGACCCUACAGUGGUUGGACGUCCAUCAUUCAAGAGAACCAAAUCAUUCUCAUCAGCGACAUCAACAAUAUCUCUCCCUCGCGCGUCAACUUUGCCGCAACCCCAUAAAGUAUGAUGCGCGUUAAAGUCUCCAGCCAAAAUUAUCGGUUUCGGAAUAGUGUGUAUUAAAUCAUUAAAUUUUUUCUUAUUAAAUUCAGGAGUACAGCUUCCUGGGCUGUAAAAACUUACAAUCGAAAUUUGUUUCUGAAAAAUUUGAAUCUGAACAACAAUAUUUUGUAAAGAAUCAUCAUAAAAUGUAUUAAUUUUGUUAUAGACUAUAGUGUUAUGAAUUAAUAUGGCUACUCCAUUGUGAUUAUUACCACAGUCAUUUCUCACAAUAGAGUAUCCUUUCAUGUUAAAUGUGAUAUGUGGUUUGAGCCACGUUUCACUAAUUAUACAAAUGUGGAUGGAAUUAUCUAAUAGAAAUUUUUGUAGUUCAUAUUUAUUACUUGGCAAGCUUUGACUGUUCCAUUGCAUAAUAUUUACUUGGGCAGAGAAUGUGAAAGAUUGUUAUUUUUUUCUUUUAUAGUUUCUUUUAUUGUUUCUGAAAGAAGCUGUGAGUUUAUGCUUGCAUUUUGAGUCUUGUUCAGAGUAAUAGCUUUAAUUAAACAUUCUGUGAGUAACGUAAGUGCGUUUUUAUUUGAGAGAAGUACAUUUAAUAAGUCUUUACUAUUUGUGUUUUCAUUCAAUGAAGGGAAAUUUUGUAAUUUAUUAUUAAAAAGGUCUGCAUAUGAUGUAGUUGUA